Molecule: unclassified non-coding RNA, 376 nt
Filed under: uncultured Pseudomonadota bacterium
Lineage: Bacteria; Pseudomonadati; Pseudomonadota
Description: uncultured proteobacterium contains 16S-23S intergenic spacer region
Source: RNAcentral
UCCGGUUUGUCACCGGCAGUCCCAUUAGAGUGCCCAACUUAAUGUGGCAACUAAUGGCAAGGGUUGCGCUCGUUGCGGGACUUAACCCAACAUCUCACGACACGAGCUGACGACAGCCAUGCAGCACCUGUGUUCAGGCUCCCUUUCGGGCACACCCGCCUCUCGGCGGGCUUCCUGACAUGUCAAGGGUAGGUAAGGUUCUUCGCGUUGCAUCGAAUUAAUCCACAUCAUCCACCGCUUGUGCGGGUCCCCGUCAAUUCCUUUGAGUUUUAACCUUGCGGCCGUACUCCCCAGGCGGGAUGCUUAAUGCGUUAGCUGCGCCACCAACAGGCAAGCCUGCUGACGGCUAGCACUCAUCGUUUACGGCGUGGACUAC